Molecule: long non-coding RNA, 532 nt
Organism: Gossypium arboreum
Lineage: Eukaryota; Viridiplantae; Streptophyta; Magnoliopsida; Malvales; Malvaceae
Exons: 2
Source: RefSeq, a predicted model, not a curated record
AAAGUCAAAUAAUUUUUUUGUCUAUAAAAACAAAGCUACAAACUGCCAGUUAUUCCUCAUCAACCCCAUUGCACGCCUUUGCUAUAUUUCCAAGCUUAAGGCCCUUAUUUUGUUAGACAAGAUUUCUUCAGAAUGGCUUUAACCCACAACUCAUUUCAAGUGAAGAUUAUGGUGGUUUUCUUAGCCAUCAUGCUUCUCAUGUUCUCAGCCGCAGCUGCUCUACCCAUACCCCUCUUAACCUCGGUGGUCGGAAGCUUCUUCAAUAUUAUAGCAUUUUCGACUCAUAUUCUAGUUCAAGUGGAGGGGGAGGCUACCCAUGCUGUAAGUGAGAUGUUGCAACUUUGAAAAUGAGUCGAGAAGAGAAGGAUAAAUGUCACUACUUUACAGAAAUGUGUUAUUUUGUUUUAAAUAAAGAGAACAUAUAUAUUGUUUGGAGUAACACAAUAAAUUGCAUAAGAAAGAGCAACUUGAUAUUUUAAUUUAACUUUUCUAGAACAAUAAUUUAUUUAUAUAAAUUUUGAUGCAUUGAUGA